Molecule: ribosomal RNA, 515 nt
Filed under: Oreina elongata elongata
Lineage: Eukaryota; Metazoa; Arthropoda; Insecta; Coleoptera; Chrysomelidae
Also listed under: 1 other name
Description: partial 16S ribosomal RNA
Rfam family: Bacterial large subunit ribosomal RNA
Source: RNAcentral
GUCCUUUUGUUGAUAAUUUAAGGUCUAGCCUGCCCACUGAAAUUUUAAAUGGCCGUGGUAUUUUGACCGUGCUAAGGUAGCAUAAUCAUUAGUUUUUUAAUUAAAAACUGGAAUGAAAGGUUGGAUAAGAAAAUAGCUGUCUCUGUUAAAUUUAAUUAGAAUUUUAUUUUUAAGUUAAAAAGCUUAAUUAUUGUUAAAAGACGAGAAGACCCUAUAGAGUUUAAUUAUUUAAUAAAAAUUAUAUUUUAGUAUUUAUUUAUUUAUUUUAUUAAAUAAUUUAAUUGGGGUGAUUGAAAAAUUUAAUUAACUUUUUUUAUUUAGAAACAUUAAUUUAUGAAUAAAUGAUCCAAUAUUUUUGAUUAUAAGAUAAAAUUACCUUAGGGAUAACAGCGUAAUUUUUUUAGAAAGUUCAUAUUAAAAAAAAAGAUUGCGACCUCGAUGUUGGAUUAAAAUAAAUUUUUGGUGUAGAAGCUAAAAUAUUAGGUCUGUUCGACCUUUAAAAUUUUACAUGAUCU